UUAAGCGACUAAGCGUACACGGUGGAUGCCCUGGCAGUCAGAGGCGAUGAAGGACGUGCUAAUCUGCGAAAAGCGUCGGUAAGGUGAUAUGAACCGUUACAGCCGGCGAUGUCCGAAUGGGGAAACCCAGUGCAAUUCGUUGCACUAUCGUUAACUGAAUACAUAGGUUAACGAGGCGAACCGGGGGAACUGAAACAUCUAAGUACCCCGAGGAAAAGAAAUCAACCGAGAUUCCCCCAGUAGCGGCGAGCGAACGGGGAGCAGCCCGGAGUCUGAAUCAGCUUGUGUGUUAGUGGAAGCGUCUGGAAAGUCGCAGGGUACAGGGUGAUACUCCCGUACACUAAAACACACAGGCUGUGAACUCGAAGAGUAGGGCGGGACACGUGGUAUCCUGUCUGAAUAUGGGGGGACCAUCCUCCAAGGCUAAAUACUCCUGACUGACCGAUAGUGAACCAGUACCGUGAGGGAAAGGCGAAAAGAACCCCGGCGAGGGGAGUGAAAAAGAACCUGAAACCGUGUACGUACAAGCAGUAGGAGCCCCACCACCAAAGCGUUUCGCUUUGCGUGGUGCGCAAAAUGCGUAACGACAGCAUGAUGGACGGUUAACGGAGCGUCAGCGACGUUCAACCUCAAAAAUCAGGCAGUGGAGCGUUUUGGGGUGGGGUGACUGCGUACCUUUUGUAUAAUGGGUCAGCGACUUAUAUUCUGUAGCAAGGUUAACCGUAUAGGGGAGCCGCAGGGAAACCGAGUCUUAACUGGGCGUUAAGUUGCAGGGUAUAGACCCGAAACCCGGUGAUCUAGCCAUGGGCAGGUUGAAGGUUGGGUAACACUAACUGGAGGACCGAACCGACUAAUGUUGAAAAAUUAGCGGAUGACUUGUGGCUGGGGGUGAAAGGCCAAUCAAACCGGGAGAUAGCUGGUUCUCCCCGAAAGCUAUUUAGGUAGCGCCUCGUGAAUUCAUCUUCGGGGGUAGAGCACUGUUUCGGCUAGGGGGUCAUCCCGACUUACCAACCCGAUGCAAACUACGAAUACCGAAGAAUGUUAUCACGGGAGACACACGGCGGGUGCUAACGUCCGUCGUGAAGAGGGAAACAACCCAGACCGCCAGCUAAGGUCCCAAAGUCAUGGUUAAGUGGGAAACGAUGUGGGAAGGCCCAGACAGCCAGGAUGUUGGCUUAGAAGCAGCCAUCAUUUAAAGAAAGCGUAAUAGCUCACUGGUCGAGUCGGCCUGCGCGGAAGAUGUAACGGGGCUAAACCAUGCACCGAAGCUGCGGCAGCGACACUAUGUGUUGUUGGGUAGGGGAGCGUUCUGUAAGCCGUUGAAGGUGGCCUGUGAAGGUUGCUGGAGGUAUCAGAAGUGCGAAUGCUGACAUAAGUAACGAUAAUGCGGGUGAAAAACCCGCACGCCGGAAGACCAAGGGUUCCUGUCCAACGUUAAUCGGGGCAGGGUGAGUCGACCCCUAAGGCGAGGCCGAAAGGCGUAGUCGAUGGGAAACAGGUUAAUAUUCCUGUACUUGGUGUUACUGCGAAGGGGGGACGGAGAAGGCUAUGUUGGCCGGGCGACGGUUGUCCCGGUUUAAGCAUGUAGGCGGAUGUUCCAGGUAAAUCCGGAACGUUACUAACGCUGAGGUGUGAUGACGAGGCACUACGGUGCUGAAGUGACAAAUGCCCUGCUUCCAGGAAAAGCCUCUAAGCAUCAGGUAACAUCAAAUCGUACCCCAAACCGACACAGGUGGUCAGGUAGAGAAUACCAAGGCGCUUGAGAGAACUCGGGUGAAGGAACUAGGCAAAAUGGUGCCGUAACUUCGGGAGAAGGCACGCUGACGGUAGGUGAAGUGACUUGCUCAUGGAGCUGAAAUCAGUCGAAGAUACCAGCUGGCUGCAACUGUUUAUUAAAAACACAGCACUGUGCAAACACGAAAGUGGACGUAUACGGUGUGACGCCUGCCCGGUGCCGGAAGGUUAAUUGAUGGGGUUAUCCUCACGGAGAAGCUCUUGAUCGAAGCCCCGGUAAACGGCGGCCGUAACUAUAACGGUCCUAAGGUAGCGAAAUUCCUUGUCGGGUAAGUUCCGACCUGCACGAAUGGCGUAAUGAUGGCCAGGCUGUCUCCACCCGAGACUCAGUGAAAUUGAACUCGCUGUGAAGAUGCAGUGUACCCGCGGCAAGACGGAAAGACCCCGUGAACCUUUACUAUAGCUUGACACUGAACACUGGUCCUUGAUGUGUAGGAUAGGUGGGAGGCUUUGAAGUGUGGACGCCAGUCUGCAUGGAGCCAUCCUUGAAAUACCACCCUUUAAUGGCUGGUGUUCUAACGUGGGCCCGUGAUCCGGGUUGCGGACAGUGUCUGGUGGGUAGUUUGACUGGGGCGGUCUCCUCCUAAAGAGUAACGGAGGAGCACGAAGGUCAGCUAAUCCUGGUCGGACAUCAGGAGGUUAGUGCAAUGGCAUAAGCUGGCUUGACUGCGAGCGUGACGGCGCGAGCAGGUGCGAAAGCAGGUCAUAGUGAUCCGGUGGUUCUGAAUGGAAGGGCCAUCGCUCAACGGAUAAAAGGUACUCCGGGGAUAACAGGCUGAUACCGCCCAAGAGUUCAUAUCGACGGCGGUGUUUGGCACCUCGAUGUCGGCUCAUCACAUCCUGGGGCUGAAGUAGGUCCCAAGGGUAUGGCUGUUCGCCAUUUAAAGUGGUACGCGAGCUGGGUUUAGAACGUCGUGAGACAGUUCGGUCCCUAUCUGCCGUGGGCGCUGGAGAAUUGAGGGGGGCUGCUCCUAGUACGAGAGGACCGGAGUGGACGCAUCACUGGUGUUCGGGUUGUCAUGCCAAUGGCAUUGCCCGGUAGCUAAAUGCGGAAGAGAUAAGUGCUGAAAGCAUCUAAGCACGAAACUUGCCCCGAGAUGAGUUCUCCCUGACCCUUUAAGGGUCCUGAAGGAACGUUGAAGACGACGACGUUGAUAGGCCGGGUGUGUAAGCGCAGCGAUGCGUUGAGCUAACCGGUACUAAUGAACCGUGAGGCUUAACCUU
RNAcentral lists this ribosomal RNA (3018 nucleotides) under Klebsiella oxytoca. RNAcentral describes it as "bacterial LSU rRNA". It matches the Rfam family "Bacterial large subunit ribosomal RNA". The record is from RNAcentral. Lineage: Bacteria; Pseudomonadati; Pseudomonadota; Gammaproteobacteria; Enterobacterales; Enterobacteriaceae.